Molecule: ribosomal RNA, 641 nt
Filed under: uncultured Bacteroidales bacterium
Lineage: Bacteria; Pseudomonadati; Bacteroidota; Bacteroidia; Bacteroidales
Description: bacterial SSU rRNA
Rfam family: Bacterial small subunit ribosomal RNA
Source: RNAcentral
UUAGCUUGCUAAGUUUGAUGGCGACCGGCGCACGGGUGAGUAACACGUAUCCAACCUGCCGAUGACUCGGGGAUAGCCUUUCGAAAGAAAGAUUAAUACCCGAUGGCAUAGUUCUUCCGCAUGGUAGAACUAUUAAAGAAUUUCGGUCAUCGAUGGGGAUGCGUUCCAUUAGGUUGUUGGCGGGGUAACGGCCCACCAAGCCUUCGAUGGAUAGGGGUUCUGAGAGGAAGGUCCCCCACAUUGGAACUGAGACACGGUCCAAACUCCUACGGGAGGCAGCAGUGAGGAAUAUUGGUCAAUGGACGAGAGUCUGAACCAGCCAAGUAGCGUGAAGGAUGACUGCCCUAUGGGUUGUAAACUUCUUUUAUACGGGAAUAAAGUGAGGCACGUGUGCCUUUUUGUAUGUACCGUAUGAAUAAGGAUCGGCUAACUCCGUGCCAGCAGCCGCGGUAAUACGGAGGAUCCGAGCGUUAUCCGGAUUUAUUGGGUUUAAAGGGAGCGUAGGCGGACGCUUAAGUCAGUUGUGAAAGUUUGCGGCUCAACCGUAAAAUUGCAGUUGAUACUGGGUGCCUUGAGUACAGUAGAGGCAGGCGGAAUUCGUGGUGUAGCGGUGAAAUGCUUAGAUAUCACGAAGAACUCCG